Molecule: non-coding RNA, 63 nt
Organism: Rattus norvegicus (Norway rat)
Lineage: Eukaryota; Metazoa; Chordata; Mammalia; Rodentia; Muridae
Source: Rfam
GGGGAUUUAGCUCAGUGGUAGAGCGCUUGCCUAGGAAGCGCAAGGCCCUGGAUUCAGUCCCCA